Molecule: ribosomal RNA, 260 nt
Filed under: uncultured bacterium
Lineage: Bacteria
Description: partial 16S ribosomal RNA
Source: RNAcentral
CUGCUGCCUCCCGUAGGAGUUUGGGCCGUGUCUCAGUCCCAAUGUGGCCGUUCACCCUCUCAGGCCGGCUACUGAUCGUCGCUUUGGUAGGCCGUUACCCUGCCAACUGGCUAAUCAGACGCGGGUCCAUCUCACACCGAUAAAUCUUUUCCGUCAGUAUCAUGCGAUACCAGCGGGUUAUGCGGUAUUAGCGGUCGUUUCCAACUGUUAUCCCCCUGUGUGAGGCAGGUUACCCACGCGUUACUCACCCGUCCGCCACU